Triticum aestivum (bread wheat) is the source of this 136-nucleotide non-coding RNA. The record is from Rfam. Lineage: Eukaryota; Viridiplantae; Streptophyta; Magnoliopsida; Poales; Poaceae.
AUUCUACUCCAUCCGUUGCACAAUACAUGCCUUCUAUUUGUCAAAAUAUAUAUGUAUCUAGACAUGUUUUAGUAUAUAGGUACAUCCAUUUUUGGACAAAUGGAAGUCAAGUAUUUUGGAAUGGAGGGAGUACACA